AGAGCGAACGCUGGCGGCAUGCUUAACACAUGCAAGUCGCACGGGCAUUUCGGUGUCAGUGGCGGACGGGUGAGUAACGCGUAGGUAUCUAUCCUUGGGUGGGGGAUAACGGUUGGAAACGACUGCUAAUACCGCAUGAUAACUGAGGUUUAAAGGCGCAAGUCGCCUGGGGAGGAGCCUGCGUACGAUUAGCUUGUUGGUGGGGUAAAGGCCUACCAAGGCGACGAUCGUUAGCUGGUCUGAGAGGAUGAUCAGCCACAUUGGGACUGAGACACGGCCCAAAACUCCUACGGGAGGCAGCAGUGGGGAAUAUUGGACAAUGGGCGAAAGCCUGAUCCAGCAAUGCCGCGUGUGUGAAGAAGGUCUUCGGAUUGUAAAGCACUUUCGACAGGGACAUGAUGACGGUCUGUAGAAGAGCCCGGCUAACUUCGUGCCAGCAGCCG
This 443-nucleotide ribosomal RNA is filed under the name uncultured bacterium. RNAcentral describes it as "SSU rRNA". It matches the Rfam family "Bacterial small subunit ribosomal RNA", at positions 26 to 517 of the family's 1533-position model. The record is from RNAcentral.